RNAcentral lists this ribosomal RNA (253 nucleotides) under uncultured bacterium. Its description in RNAcentral is "partial 16S ribosomal RNA". It matches the Rfam family "Bacterial small subunit ribosomal RNA", at positions 524 to 776 of the family's 1533-position model. The record is from RNAcentral.
UACAGAGGGGGCAAGCGUUAUUCGGAAUUAUUGGGCGUAAAGGGCGCGUAGGCGGCUUGGCAAGUGGAUGGUGAAAUCCCUCGGCUUAACCGAGGAACUGCCGUCCAAACUGCUUGGCUUGAGACCGGGAGAGGUGAGUGGAAUUCCCAGUGUAGCGGUGAAAUGCGUAGAUAUUGGGAGGAACACCAGUGGCGAAGGCGGCUCACUGGACCGGUACUGACGCUGAUGCGCGAAAGCGUGGGGAGCAAACAGG